This 252-nucleotide ribosomal RNA is filed under the name uncultured bacterium. RNAcentral describes it as "partial 16S ribosomal RNA". It matches the Rfam family "Bacterial small subunit ribosomal RNA", at positions 524 to 776 of the family's 1533-position model. The record is from RNAcentral.
UACGGAGGAUGCGAGCGUUAUCCGGAUUUAUUGGGUUCAAAGGGUGCGCAGGCGGCACGGCAAGCCGGCGGUCAAAUCGCGGGGCUCAACCCCGCCCAGCCGUCGGAACUGCCGGGCUAGAGUGGGCGAGAAGUGCGCGGAAUGCGUGGUGUAGCGGUGAAAUGCAUAGAUAUCACGCAGAACUCCGAUUGCGAAGGCAGCGCACCGGCGCCCUACUGACGCUCAGGCACGAAAGCGUGGGUAUCGAACAGG